UUACAGAGUUUUUAACUCCCACACCAUUUGUUAACCUACCACCUUAUGCCUCGGCGUAAGCUCGGUUCGGGGGCGUUUCGUCGUCGAGUUACCCUGUGGCUGCCGUGUGGCUGCCUUGAGCUACCCUGUAGCGAUUGGCUAGUUACCCUGUAGCUGCAAUCUGGCUCUUCGACGGGACGCACUCCGGCCGCGGCCCGCCGGCGGUACACUAAACUCGUUUUUACCGUACAUUCUGAGCGUCUUAUUUUAAAUAAGUUAAAACUUUCAACAACGGAUCUCUUGGUUCUGGCAUCGAUGAAGAACGCAGCGAAAUGCGAUAAGUAAUGUGAAUUGCAGAAUUCAGUGAAUCAUCGAAUCUUUGAACGCACAUUGCGCCCACUAGUAUUCUGGUGGGCAUGCCUGUUCGAGCGUCAUUUCAACCCUUAAGCCUAGCUUAGUGUUGGGAAUCCACUGUACUGUGGUUCCUUAAAGACAGUGGCGGAGCGGCAGCGGUCCUCUGAGCGUAGUAAUUUUUUAUUCUCGCUUCUGUUAGGCCCUGUCCUCCCGCCGUAAAACCCCCUAUUUUUUUAGUGGUUGACCUCGGAUCAGGUAGGAAUACCCGCUGAACUUAAGCAUAUCAAUAAGCGGAGGAAAAGAAACCAACAGGGAUUCCCCUAGUAACGGCGAGUGAAGCGGGAACAGCUCAAAUUUGAAAUCUGGCCCUCGGGUCCGAGUUGUAAUUUGCAGAGGAUGCUUUUGGCGCGGUGCCUUCCGAGUUCCCUGGAACGGGACGCCUUAGAGGGUGAGAGCCCCGUACGGUUGGCCACCAAGCCUGUGUAAAGCUCCUUCGACGAGUCGAGUAGUUUGGGAAUGCUGCUCAAAACGGGAGGUAUAUUUCUUCUAAAGCUAAAUACUGGCCAGAGACCGAUAGCGCACAAGUAGAGUGAUCGAAAGAUGAAAAGCACUUUGAAAAGAGGGUUAAAUAGCACGUGAAAUUGUUGAAAGGGAAGGGUUUAUGACCAGACUUUUUCUAGGGGGAUCAUCCGGUGUUCUCACCGGUGCACUUCCCCUAGUUGAGGCCAGCAUCGGUUUCUGCCGGGGGAUAAAAGCUUCGGGAAUGUGGCUCCUUCGGGAGUGUUAUAGCCCGUUGUAUAAUACCCUGGCGGGGACCGAGGUUCGCG
This 1160-nucleotide unclassified non-coding RNA is filed under the name leaf metagenome. RNAcentral describes it as "partial contains internal transcribed spacer 1, 5.8S ribosomal RNA, internal transcribed spacer 2, and large subunit ribosomal RNA". The stretch from base 575 to 1160 matches the Rfam family "Eukaryotic large subunit ribosomal RNA", at positions 1 to 597 of the family's 3401-position model. The record is from RNAcentral.